This 574-nucleotide long non-coding RNA is filed under the name Dromaius novaehollandiae (emu). RNAcentral describes it as "lncRNA (ENSDNVG00000016405.1)". Lineage: Eukaryota; Metazoa; Chordata; Aves; Casuariiformes; Dromaiidae. The record is from RNAcentral.
AUUGAUUUUCAUUGCACUGUAUUUUCCAGAAGUUUGAAGUUAUAAUAAGGAUCUGACUUUAUGAGAAAUUGAUUUUCAUACACUAAGGAAAAAUUGUUAGAGACUUAAUUUUCUUCACUCAGUACAUAGUGGAAGAAUCACAUAUACAUCUGAUAAGAAAUUAACAAUCUCUUAAAUACUCCCAGUUAAUGUAAUGAGUCUUUUUGUAGGUAUAGUUCUGUCCUUUUGAGGAGAGAGAAAUUCUAGUACUCUGGAACCUAACAUGUACCCAGCUAAACAUAAUACUCUUGGGAGCAGUAUGCGGCUAGUAACUUAUCUUCUUGAAGAGAAUGACUGAGAUGUCUGUUUGGAAUUAUUCCUGGAAUUAGAGCAGCAUGAGGUCUCCUCUGCCAAUCUAAGAGCCUGAUUCUGCAGAUUUACUUACAAGAAACUACUCUAUAUGAGCAACCCGUUGAUGUUAAGAGGUCUACUCAGGUAAGUAUAGUUACUUGUGUGCAAGAAUCUGCAGAAUCAAGGCUGUGUCUGUAAAAAUUUAGAAAAUAAACCACUGAUGAAAUAGACUAUGUCCUUCUGU